Molecule: long non-coding RNA, 637 nt
Organism: Engraulis encrasicolus (European anchovy)
Lineage: Eukaryota; Metazoa; Chordata; Actinopteri; Clupeiformes; Engraulidae
Exons: 2
Source: RefSeq, a predicted model, not a curated record
GGAAAAGAUCGCAUUGAAGAACAGUAGAGAGAGAAAGAACAUUACAAGUUAAAUUAUUUACUUUAUUUUCGUGAAACAGUUUAAGAAUUUUAUUUUGUUUAAGUUGUGAUACCUUUGACAAGCCAGAUUCGUUUGAAAGAAGUCCCGGACAGUGUUAAUACUGUAAUUUUUCUGUCCUUUCCUCCGGUUGGUUUUUUUUAAGAGCUUGAUUCCCAACGAACUAUCGCCGAACUUCCCUGGGUGCACGCGCGGCCAGCAGCAGUGACUGAGGAGCGUCUGGCCACUUGUCUCCUACAGCCGCGUCUCGUUCUCCAUCCAGGCUCCAGAGAUAAGGAGAUCCAUUGCACACACCCGCACGUGGGACACACAAAAAAAAACAUACUACCCGGGUAGAUUGACACUUUUGGACGUUGAUAUUAUUUAUUUAUUUAUUUAAUUAUUUUAUUUUAUUUCUUUAAGCCAGAGCUCUGAGGUUUUCUUUUCUACUUUCUUAUUUCUUCUAUUUUUUCUAUUUAUUCUUCCUCCUUGAUGAAAAGGACAAUACCAAGGACAAUCUAAGGAGUCUAUACAGAGAAAAGAGUUCUCACUUGAGUGUUGUUUUUACAUGAAUAAAUGCCGGCAAUACUUUGAAACUUUA